GACCGCGUAGCUCAGUUGGCAGAGCAUUGGGCUAGUAUUCCGAAGGUCGUAGGUUCGAUUCCCGCCGUGGACG
RNAcentral lists this transfer RNA (73 nucleotides) under Paramuricea clavata. It matches the Rfam family "tRNA". Rfam says of the family: Transfer RNA (tRNA) molecules are approximately 80 nucleotides in length. Lineage: Eukaryota; Metazoa; Cnidaria; Anthozoa; Malacalcyonacea; Plexauridae. The record is from Rfam by way of RNAcentral.